This 429-nucleotide ribosomal RNA is filed under the name Pseudomonadota bacterium. Its description in RNAcentral is "Proteobacteria bacterium partial 16S ribosomal RNA". It matches the Rfam family "Bacterial small subunit ribosomal RNA", at positions 355 to 776 of the family's 1533-position model. Lineage: Bacteria; Pseudomonadati; Pseudomonadota. The record is from RNAcentral.
UGGGGAAUAUUGGACAAUGGGCGAAAGCCUGAUCCAGCCAUGCCGCGUGUGUGAAGAAGGUCUUCGGAUUGUAAAGCACUUUAAGUUGGGAGGAAGGGCAGUAAGCGAAUACCUUGCUGUUUUGACGUUACCGACAGAAUAAGCACCGGCUAACUCUGUGCCAGCAGCCGCGGUAAUACAGAGGGUGCAAGCGUUAAUCGGAAUUACUGGGCGUAAAGCUCGCGUAGGUGGUUCGUUAAGUUGAAUGUGAAAGCCCCGGGCUCAACCUGGGAACUGCAUCCAAAACUGGCGGGCUAGAGUAGGGCAGAGGGUGGUGGAAUUUCCUGUGUAGCGGUGAAAUGCGUAGAUAUAGGAAGGAACACCAGUGGCGAAGGCGAGCACCUGGGCUCAUACAGACACUGAGGUGCGAAAAAGUGGGGAGCAAACAGG